CAGGCGCGAAAACUUUACAAUGCUGGCAACAGCGAUAAGGGGACCUCGAGUGCCACGAUACAAUCGUGGCUGUCUAGUUGCCUAAAAAGCAAUUGAUAGCAAGGGCCGGGCAAGACCGGUGCCAGCCGCCGCGGUAACACCGGCGGCUCGAGUGGUAACCGCUAUUAUUUGGUCUAAAGGGUCUGUAGCCGGCUUAGUCAGUCUUUUGAGAAAUCUGGCCGCUCAACGGUCAGGCGUUCAGGGGAUACUGCUAAAGCUCGAGACCGGGAGAGGUGAGAGGUACUUCAGGGGUAGGGGUGAAAUCUUGUAAUCCUUGAAGGACCACCAGUGGCGAAGGCGUCUCACCAGAACGGAUCUGACGGCAAGGGACGAAAGCUAGGGGCACGAACCGGAUUAGAUACCCGGGUAGUCCUAGCCGUAAACGAUACUCGCUAGGUGUCGGCCACGGUGCGACCGUGGUCGGUGCCGUAGGGAAGCCGUGAAGCGAGCCACCUGGGAAGUACGGCCGCAAGGCUGAAACUUAAAGGAAUUGGCGGGGGAGCACUACAACGGGUGGAGCUUGCGGUUUAAUUGGAUUCAACGCCGGAAAUCUUACCGGGGCCGACAGCGAUAUGAAGGCCAGGCUAAGGACCUUGCCCGAUUAGCUGAGAGGUGGUGCAUGGCCGUCGUCAGUUCGUACUGUGAAGCAU
RNAcentral lists this ribosomal RNA (689 nucleotides) under uncultured Methanotrichaceae archaeon. Its description in RNAcentral is "bacterial SSU rRNA". It matches the Rfam family "Archaeal small subunit ribosomal RNA", at positions 336 to 1024 of the family's 1478-position model. Lineage: Archaea; Methanobacteriati; Methanobacteriota; Methanomicrobia; Methanotrichales; Methanotrichaceae. The record is from RNAcentral.